RNAcentral lists this non-coding RNA (22 nucleotides) under Rattus norvegicus (Norway rat). The record is from RNAcentral. Lineage: Eukaryota; Metazoa; Chordata; Mammalia; Rodentia; Muridae.
UGAUGCUUUCUAGGUUCCUGUG